This 380-nucleotide ribosomal RNA is filed under the name uncultured eukaryote. RNAcentral describes it as "partial 18S ribosomal RNA". It matches the Rfam family "Eukaryotic small subunit ribosomal RNA", at positions 592 to 976 of the family's 1831-position model. The record is from RNAcentral.
CAAUAGCGUAUAUUAAAGUUGUUGCAGUUAAAAAGCUCGUAGUUGGAUUUGUGGCUGUCACGGGCGGCCUAUCACUUAGUGUUAGUGCUUGCCUGUGUCGCCAUCCUUGGGUGGAGCCCGUGUGGCAUUAGGUUGUCGUGCGGGGGAUGCCCAUCGUUUACUGUGAGAAAAUUAGAGUGUUCAAAGCAGGCUUAUGCCAUUGAAUAUGUUAGCAUGGAAUAAUAAGAUAGGACCUCGGUACUAUUUUGUUGGUUUGCGCACCGAGGUAAUGAUUAAUAGGGACAGUUGGGGGUAUUCGUAUUUCAUUGUCAGAGGUGAAAUUCUUGGAUUUCUGAAAGACGAACUACUGCGAAAGCAUUUGCCAAGGAUGUUUUCAUUAA